RNAcentral lists this ribosomal RNA (2486 nucleotides) under Venturia asperata. RNAcentral's name for it is "bacterial LSU rRNA". It matches the Rfam family "Bacterial large subunit ribosomal RNA", at positions 1 to 2407 of the family's 2925-position model. The record is from RNAcentral. Lineage: Eukaryota; Fungi; Ascomycota; Dothideomycetes; Venturiales; Venturiaceae.
AUUUGAUAUGUAAUGUAUUAUUUCAUUUUCUUUGCUUUAAGCGAAGAUCUUGGCAAGUAUAUAAAGAAACUAUUACAAAGUAAUUGGCUGUAUAUCAAAGGAAGAGACAAGUCCUAAAUGAAAACCACACUAUAAUAAACAAAGCGAAUUGAAAUAUCUUAGUAACUUUAGGAAAAGAAAUCAAACGAGAUUCUAUGAAUAGUGUGAAUGAAAGUAGAUCUAGUCAUGUAAGUAAAACGGAAUGUAAAUCUGUUUGAAUAUAGGGGAACCUUCCUCUAAGACUAAAUAUGAUAUAUAAGCGAUAGCGAAUAGUACCGUGAGGGAAUAUUACGUAAAUAGUAGUUUUAUAAGCAGCUCGAAAAAAAUUCUAUUGAAUUAGAGCGUACCUUUUGCAUAAUGGGUCAGCAAGUUAAUGUUAGAUGCAAGCAUCCCGUCUCAGUAUAAAAGUUUUGUUCUAGAAUAAAACCGGCUUAACCACUUCUUUAAAAAGAAAGAUAAUGGAAGAAUAGUCAUACUAUUCAGAGCUAGGGUUCUGAACUGAAUAAUAUUUAGAAAAAGGCUUGCCCAGGUAAACCAAUUAUAAUCUAAUAAUUUAGUAUCUAAUGUUAGACCCGAAGCCUAGUGAUCUUACCAUGGUCAGGAUUAUAAAAGUCCGAACGGGUUAUCGUUGUAAAGAUAUCCGAUGAAUUGUGGUAAGUUAGUGAAAGACAAUACUGACUAGGAUAGCUGGUUUUCCGCGAAACCUAUGUAAGUAGGUAGUUUAAUAAAUAUCUUAGCAGGUACAGUAUUUGAUCACGAUAAUAUAAAUAGUACUUGUUGAAUACACAAUAUUAUUUAUUUUGUAUAUAUCGGGGGAUCGUGAUGGUUUUACCGGAGUGUUUCAGAUCUCGGAAGGGCAAUGAUAAAGGUUAAACAAUCAGACAUAGUACGCUAAGGUUGUAUGUCAAAAGGGAAACAGCCCAGAACAAGAGUUUAAGGUUCCAAAAUUAUUGUUAAGUGAAAUAAAGGAAGUUUUUUUCAAAUACAAUCAGGAAAUAGGCUUAGAAGCGGCCAUUUUUUUAAGAUCUCGUAACAGAGCACUGGUCUAAUGAACUAUAUUUUAAAUAUAGUUAAAGUAAAAAGCGCCGAAAAUAGAACGGAUCUAAACAAUAUACCGACACCUUGUCUAUAAAUAUUGAUUUGACUGGAAAAAGUUAGUCUUUCAUAUUUAUAGGGUAGCGGAACGUAGGGUAAAUGUGGUAAUAAUGAUUUUAUUCUUCAAAAUCAAAAGAUCAAUUCAUGGAAGAUAUAUGUUUAUCGUAGUAUUAUGGAAAUAAACUGAAACAGAUUAUACAUAAGAAAGAGAUAUGAAGAAGAAUAUCCCUAGUGAGAAUGCUGACAUGAGUAACGAUAAAGGGUAAGUAACGUAAAGUUACUAUCUUACCCUCGCCUAAAGCUUAUGGUUUUUAUUCAUUAACGGCCUCUAAGUUUAUAUACUACCUAAAGGAUGAAACGAUGAGUACCUAUGCAAAAAACCUUACUGUACAAGAGUAGUAAGGUUCUGGAAAACAAUAGGAAACAACCGUACCUAAAUACUACCGCAAGUAAGCUAGUAGAGAAUACGAAGGCGUUUGAGCUAACAAUCAUUAAGGAACUCGGCAAAUUGACUCCGUAACUUCGGGAGAAGGUGGGCCAUUCCUCUUGAUUAAUAUUAAGAGAAGAGGAGGCAUAGAAUGGUGUUGUACGACUGUUUAAUUAAAACAAAGCACUUUGCGUAAGAUGUAAAAUCAAAGUAUUGAGUGUGAUUUCUGCCCUAUGUCGGCUGGUUAACGGAUUUUCUUAACUGACUAAAAUAGGUUAGGUUUUGAAGGAACCCCCGAUCAAUGGCGGCCUUAUCUAUAAGGGUCUUAAGGUAGCGGAAUACCUUGGCCGUUAAAUGCGGUCUUGCAUGAAUGAUGUAACGAUACAACAGCUGUCUCAAUGAUUGGCUCAGUGAAAUUGGAAUAGCAGUGCAGAUACUGUUUACCUCUAGAUAGACGAGAAGACCCUUUGCAGCUUUACUGUUACUAAUUAUUGGUUAUGUUAUAUCAAGUUUUAGAGUAAAAGGUAAUUGUCAGAUACAGUUGAAACACCUUUACUUUGUUUUUCAUAGCUCUGAUAGGGCUAGCUUCAUUUGUAAGUAUAUUACUUGUGAAGGUGGCUUAUAAUCUUAGGUAGACUCUCAACCAGUCUACCCUAAUCCUUCAAAAUGUGGCUUUUCUUUUUUAGACUUUUUCAAAAUCUAAAAUAAAGCACAGGGAGACAAUUGCUAGUAGACGGUUUAUGCGGGGCACAGAUCCCAUAAAAAGUACCUGGGUAUAUCCAAAGUUCAUUUUGUAAAUGUAUAUGUAUAUAUACAUUUAAAUUUAUAGACGUAACUUUUUGUAGAAAAGAGACUUACCUUUUUAUUUUACAAGAAAGUUUUCCUGUAGUUUCUAUUACAUUUAUUUUGUUGUUGAUUUAUUUUU